UCCAAGGUAGCUCAAUGGCGGAGCACUCGGCUGUUAACCGAUAGGUUGUGGGUUCGAGUCCCACCCUUGGAGCCA
Molecule: transfer RNA, 75 nt
Filed under: Alkalithermobacter paradoxus
Lineage: Bacteria; Bacillati; Bacillota; Clostridia; Peptostreptococcales; Tepidibacteraceae
Description: [Clostridium] thermoalcaliphilum tRNA-Asn
Rfam family: tRNA
About the family: Transfer RNA (tRNA) molecules are approximately 80 nucleotides in length. Their secondary structure includes four short double-helical elements and three loops (D, anti-codon, and T loops). Further hydrogen bonds mediate the characteristic L-shaped molecular structure. tRNAs have two regions of fundamental functional importance: the anti-codon, which is responsible for specific mRNA codon recognition, and the 3' end, to which the tRNAs corresponding amino acid is attached (by aminoacyl-tRNA synthetases). tRNAs cope with the degeneracy of the genetic code in two manners: having more than one tRNA (with a specific anti-codon) for a particular amino acid; and 'wobble' base-pairing, i.e. permitting non-standard base-pairing at the 3rd anti-codon position.
Source: RNAcentral